AUUGAACGCUGGCGGCAUGCCUUACACAUGCAAGUCGAACGGUAACAGGUCUUCGGAUGCGGACGAGUGGCGAACGGGUGAGUAAUACAUCGGAACGUGCCUAGUAGUGGGGGAUAACUACUCGAAAGAGUGGCUAAUACCGCAUGAGAUCUACGGAUGAAAGAAGGGGAUCGUAAGACCUUGUGCUACUAGAGCGGCCGAUGGCAGAUUAGGUAGUUGGUGGGAUAAAAGCUUACCAAGCCGACGAUCUGUAGCUGGUCUGAGAGGACGAUCAGCCACACUGGGACUGAGACACGGCCCAGACUCCUACGGGAGGCAGCAGUGGGGAAUUUUGGACAAUGGGCGAAAGCCUGAUCCAGCAAUGCCGCGUGCAGGAUGAAGGCCUUCGGGUUGUAAACUGCUUUUGUACGGAACGAAAAGCCCUGGGUUAAUACCCUGGGGUCAUGACGGUACCGUAAGAAUAAGCACCGGCUAACUACGUGCCAGCCGCCGCGGUAA
RNAcentral lists this ribosomal RNA (498 nucleotides) under uncultured bacterium. RNAcentral's name for it is "partial 16S ribosomal RNA". It matches the Rfam family "Bacterial small subunit ribosomal RNA", at positions 30 to 523 of the family's 1533-position model. The record is from RNAcentral.